GCAAGGAAGGUUUGAUUAAAAUAAGGUUUUAAUUCCAAGCUCUGCCACUGAUUUCAUGGGCAAGUUACUUCACCUGUUUGUGCCUCAGAUCCUCAUCUACAAAGUGAGGGUAAGAUUUUCCUAUUGUGAGGUGCAAUC
RNAcentral lists this small nucleolar RNA (138 nucleotides) under Crocodylus porosus (Australian saltwater crocodile). RNAcentral's name for it is "Small nucleolar RNA ACA59 (ENSCPRG00005017977.1)". The record is from RNAcentral. Lineage: Eukaryota; Metazoa; Chordata; Crocodylia; Crocodylidae.